Non-coding RNA from Halocaridina rubra (Hawaiian volcano shrimp), 73 nucleotides. NCBI's taxonomy places the organism in Eukaryota, Metazoa, Arthropoda, Malacostraca, Decapoda, Atyidae. The record is from the annotation of a GenBank genome assembly.
GGCCGCCAUGGCCAAGUGGUAUAGCUCAUUACUCUGAUUCGUUAGGUCGUGGGUUCGAAGCCCACCAUGGUCU